This 65-nucleotide transfer RNA is filed under the name Isonychia kiangsinensis. RNAcentral's name for it is "tRNA-Pro". The record is from RNAcentral. Lineage: Eukaryota; Metazoa; Arthropoda; Insecta; Ephemeroptera; Isonychiidae.
CAGAGGGUAGUUUAAUUAAAAUAUUAGUUUUGGGGAUUAAUGAUAGGGCGUUGCUCUACCUCUGA